Molecule: long non-coding RNA, 1761 nt
Organism: Oncorhynchus gorbuscha (pink salmon)
Lineage: Eukaryota; Metazoa; Chordata; Actinopteri; Salmoniformes; Salmonidae
Exons: 2
Source: RefSeq, a predicted model, not a curated record
UUGGGGUUAUAGGCUGGGUUUCUGUACAGCACUUUGAGAUAUCAGCUGAUGUACGAAGGGCUAUAUAAAUACAUUUGAUUUGAUUUUGAUUUGAUUUGAUAAUUUGAUGAUAGAAUGAUGAUAGUAUGGGGAUAGUAUGGUGAUAGUAAGUGGAUAAUUUGAUGAUAGAAUGAUGAUAGUAUGGUGAUAGUAUGGCGAUAGUAUGGUGAUAGUAUGUGGAUAAUUUGAUGAUAGAAUGAUGAUAGUAUGGUGAUAGUAUGGCGAUAGUAUGGUGAUAGUAUGUGGAUAAUUUGAUGAUAGAAUGAUGAUAGUAUGAUGAUAGUAUGGGGAUAGUAUGGUGAUAGUAUGGUGAUAGUAAGUGGAUAAUUUGAUGAUAGAAUGAUGAUAGUAUGAUGAUAGUAUGGGGAUAGUAUGGUGAUAGUAUGUGGAUAAUUUGAUGAUAGAAUGAUGAUAGUAUGGUGAUAGUAUGGCGAUAGUAUGGUGAUAGUAUGUGGAUAAUUUGAUGAUAGAAUGAUGAUAGUAUGGUGAUAGUAUGGUGAUAGUAUGUGGAUAAUUUGAUGAUAGAAUGAUGAUAGUAUGGUGAUAGUAUGGUGAUAGUAUGGUGAUAGUAUGGUGAUAGUAUGUGGAUAAUUUGAUGAUAGAAUGAUGAUAGUUUGGCGAUAGUAUUAAUUAGAUAAAACAAACAACUGUAGUAUUUUUAAAUAAAAUACUAUUUUAAAAAUAUGUAAAUAUUGGUAAAAAUGUAAAUGUUUGAUAAAUGUGUAUUGGAAUUCGAUGCAUUUUGCAUCCAUUCGCUAAGAUGUUAUUUUUUUUGAUGAUUUCUCUGAGGAAGCCUACAGUCACAUAGAGCAAUCCAAAAAGGAUCUCAGCGGAGUGUAACUUGAUUCCUGUUGUUCAAACCUGUCAGUACCACAAAACAAAGAGAUGUUUGUCUCAGAGAAGGUCAAACUCUGGAAACUAGGCCAUUGAACGUUACACACAGGGGGUGAUUUGGUCUGAUGCAUAUGAACACCAGGUUAUGCCUAAAGCCCUGUAGUCUCUGGUAUGGCCGAAGCGGUAGCGACUGUCGUGAUUGUGAGUAGAAAUGUUUGAUUCAUGCAUCGUUUCCUCUUUCUCUCCGCCUACAUUUUGCCCAGGCAGUCCGGUGUAACCCCUGACUUUUUAUUGCAUAUAAGAGACACUCAUCAGCUCACCCAUUACUGUUGAAAGCACAUGUAAUAAAUGAAUAAAUAUCUGUAGAAUGUGUAAGAUAACCUUAACACGGGGAUCCUCCAUACUGUCCCCUUCUGGAGAGCUUAUUUGUCACAGCUCAGCAGUGAUAGAGUCAGCUGAUUAAGGCUUUGAAGAUUUAAUUACUGAUUAGUUCAAUUGGAACCCAGAACCAAAUCUUGUGUGCUGACCAGCUACGCAACUUGACAUGUAUUAUAAUUUAUGUUCAUGUGUUAAAAGUCUGUCACAGGAUGUUGUUUGCUGUAUCAGGUGUGAUGGCACAUGUGGGACAAAAACCUACUGUACUUUUACUCUCUAGGAGCAGGUUUGGGGAUGAGAGAGAGCGAGAGACCGGAGAGGGUGACUGGAGAGAGGGUUAGGGACAGCUUCAGACUGAUGUACUCCAGUCAUACACACUGCUGUGAACUGUUAGUUUAAUACACUGGUUUGUCAUACUGUAUGUACUCUGAUCAGCACAGAUUUGAAAGCAUUGCACAAGCUGUCAAGGAUCUUAUGCCAAAAAAUAAAUAAAUAAAAAUGGUUUUAAAUUAA